RNAcentral lists this unclassified non-coding RNA (223 nucleotides) under uncultured fungus. RNAcentral describes it as "partial contains 5.8S ribosomal RNA, internal transcribed spacer 2, and large subunit ribosomal RNA". Lineage: Eukaryota; Fungi. The record is from RNAcentral.
AACGCACAUUGCACCUCUUGUGAGGUAUGCCUGUCUGAGCGUCUUUGUAACCCAAUAGGCCUGGCGCAGCCUGGCCUGUCUUGGGCCUCGCCGGACCCCCCGGCGUCGCCUCGAUUGCAUGUCGUUGCUAACGGACGAGAUCCUGUAGGACUCUAUUCCGACUGGCGAUCGAACUGACCAAGCGUUUGACCUCAGAUCAGGUAGGAGUACCGCCUGAACUUAA